UUAAUAGAAGCCAAAACCCCUGAGGCUAUUCACCGUUAAUGAAUAAACUGAUUAUUUCCUAUUAAA
This 66-nucleotide transfer RNA is filed under the name Ixodes nuttallianus. RNAcentral describes it as "tRNA-Asn". The record is from RNAcentral. Lineage: Eukaryota; Metazoa; Arthropoda; Arachnida; Ixodida; Ixodidae.